AGGGAUAUAGCUCAAUGGUAAAGCCCUUGCCUAGCAUGCAUGAAAUCCUGGGUUCAAUCCCUAGUAUCACAG
RNAcentral lists this transfer RNA (72 nucleotides) under Ictidomys tridecemlineatus (thirteen-lined ground squirrel). RNAcentral describes it as "Spermophilus tridecemlineatus (thirteen-lined ground squirrel) tRNA". It matches the Rfam family "tRNA". Rfam says of the family: Transfer RNA (tRNA) molecules are approximately 80 nucleotides in length. The record is from Rfam by way of RNAcentral. Lineage: Eukaryota; Metazoa; Chordata; Mammalia; Rodentia; Sciuridae.